This 245-nucleotide ribosomal RNA is filed under the name uncultured bacterium. RNAcentral's name for it is "partial 16S ribosomal RNA". It matches the Rfam family "Bacterial small subunit ribosomal RNA", at positions 524 to 765 of the family's 1533-position model. The record is from RNAcentral.
UACGUAGGGUGCAAGCGUUGCUCGGAAUCACUGGGCGUAAAGCGUGAGUAGGUGGACAUUUGGUAAGUCAGGUGUGAAAGCCUUGGGCUUAACCCAAGAAGAGCAUUUGAUACUGCCGGUCUAGAGUUCGGGAGAGGGAAGCGGAAUUCCAGGUGUAGGGGUGAAAUCCGUAGAUAUCUGGAGGAACACCAGUGGCGAAAGCGGCUUCCUGGACCGAUACUGACACUGAGUCACGAAAGCGUGGG